Molecule: long non-coding RNA, 1599 nt
Organism: Coregonus clupeaformis (lake whitefish)
Lineage: Eukaryota; Metazoa; Chordata; Actinopteri; Salmoniformes; Salmonidae
Exons: 7
Source: RefSeq, a predicted model, not a curated record
UACCCUGUCUAGCCUGCCAGACGUUUGAGAGGGUGAAGACCGUGGUGCCGGAGUUGAAGCCCAUCAAAGUUGUUUCACCAUGGCACAUGAUCGGGGUGGACCUCAUCGGACCCUUCACAAAAUCCAGGAAUGGCAACAGCUGGUGUCUGACGGCGACCGAUCAUUUUACCAAGUGGGUGGAGGCAAUACCCAUUAAGGACGAGACUGGCGAGGCCACCUCCAAGGCGAUGGUGGACAUCUUCAACACCCACGGUUCUCCUGAGGUCAUCUUGAGUGACCGAGGUCAUGAACGCUGGAACAAGGUUUGGUGAAUGGACCAACCAGACACUCAAGACUGCCAUGGGCAAGUCCCUUGAUUGGUAACAGGAAGGGUGGCAGAACAACCUGAAGGUAAUUAUCCUUGCACACAACAGCAGCAUCCAGGCCUCCACUGAGUACGGACGGGAGCCACAGCUGUUGACUGAGGUAAACAAUGCAAUUGUAUGUACAAUUAUUGCAUAUAGAAUAGUCUUUCAAAUGUGAUUGACUUAGUGUUGUAGUUUGUCUGUUGCUAUUUUUGUAUAACGUACUUUCAGAUCACUGAAACCACACCUAAUUGCAUUUAUUCCUGUUAUCAAUCAAGGUGAGACUGAACAUGGACAAGGCGCAGGACUAACAGAAGGAGAGCCACCAGAGCAGAAUCAGGAAGGGGACCAAGUGCUACGACAUCCGGGAGAAUUACUUGGUUUGGAAGAAGGACGAAAGGAAGGCGAGACCUGGGAAACCUCGCUGCUUUUUCGCUCCUAGCUGGGGUCACCAUCUGUUAAAGGUUACCUCGGUGGAAGCCAACAAUCUUCUACAGUUGGAGCAGUUGGACGGUCGACCACUGAAAGCACUGACACCCUACACUUCAGUGAAGCCCAAUAGACAAAGACCAUCGACUGUCCGAGCCCCCCAGGAGGUAUCCCGUCCACCAGAACCAGUGAGUUCGGAUCAGCCUGAUUCUCUGUGCUCUAAGUCGGAGGGGGACCAGCUUGAGGACCUAGGGGUUCUGCCCAACACCCAGACGUGGAUCCACCUGAUGUCCUCCAUUACCAACCACCCUCCAACUUUUCAUUACAUAAUCUACAGCUACUGUUGUUGUCAUUAUCUGCUAAGAAAGUUGUUUUGCUCUAUCAUACUGGGCACAUAAUAUGUGAGAUACACAGAUUAACUGAAAACACUAGCACUGCAAACACUCAGAACAAAGAGAGCAGCAGUGCCUGGACUUUGCAGUCUCCCUCUUCAAGUCCCCCUUCUGAGACUGGCUGCCUGUUGAGAACUAGUGACAGGCAGAACCUCCCACCCACACAGCAACCACCUCCUCUAUAUUCCACACACCAGAAUUCAGUAUUUUAGUCUAUGAUUGCCUGUGAGUGUACAAAAAAUCUACGAAAAUAAAUUAAUGACACAACUGUACCAAAAUCUAUCAAAGUUUAUGUAUUAAAAUCUUAAAUUUUGCCAGGUUGGUUUUCACAGCUGUUUCACAAUAUGUUAAUUAUUGUAAGUUGUAAGGUACAGUGGGGGAAAAAAAGUAUUUAGUCAGCCACCAAUUGUGCAAGUUCUCCCACUUAAAAAGAU